Long non-coding RNA from Ictalurus punctatus (channel catfish), 768 nucleotides. NCBI's taxonomy places the organism in Eukaryota, Metazoa, Chordata, Actinopteri, Siluriformes, Ictaluridae. The record is from Ensembl.
AAGUGUGUGCAUGCCAUUUUUGAGAAAACAGCCCGACACAGAUAAUAUUUAACACCCUCCCUCUAUCUCUAGCUCUCUCUCUCUCUCUCUCUCUCUCUCUCGUUUCUUACCUUUUCUUUUUCUCCGCUGGCGACAGCGUUUCACAGCUUUCUCCGGUUUUAAUUGUCUUCCUUAUCCGGACAAGGUUGGACUUUUCUUCCUUUUCCUUUUUUUUACAUUUAGUAUUUUCCCUUACUUUGUUUCAUGUCUCACUUCCAUCUUCUUUCAUCUCAUCAAUAAACACACGCUGCAGCCUACCUUCGGAGAGGAGGAGGAGGAGGAGGAGAGAGGGAGAGAGAGAGAGGGAGAGAGAGAGAGAGAGAGAGAAAGAGGGGAGACCUCGGCCACUUUCAGCGCUGCCCUCCCAUUAUUCCUCCGCUAUUGGUCGGAGACGCGAUCAGGACACGCCCACUUCUAACUGCGAUUGGGACACAGCCGCGGCGGGGUUAUGCUAGGCUAACGCUGUGUGCUAAAAGACAGGAUCCGACACAAACCACUUUACCCCAGUCACAGAUUGCAGAAGAAGAUCCGAGCGCGUGACGAGGCGAACGAAGCUGCAAAAGCUGAAUAGUUUUCUCCGAAAUGGGUUGUGCAGCGUACAAUGAAGAGUGUGUUAGCCACGUAUUUGCAUACUGGAAUUAUAUUCACUGGGAUGCAGACAUAAUUGCAGCUCCUUUUGUAAAAAAAAAAAAAAAAAAACCCGCAAAAAAACAAAACCCACACACACAC